RNAcentral lists this ribosomal RNA (253 nucleotides) under uncultured bacterium. RNAcentral describes it as "partial 16S ribosomal RNA". It matches the Rfam family "Bacterial small subunit ribosomal RNA", at positions 524 to 776 of the family's 1533-position model. The record is from RNAcentral.
UACGUAGGGGGCAAGCGUUGUCCGGAAUCAUUGGGCGUAAAGAGCGUGUAGGCGGCCACGCAGGUCCGUUGUGAAAACUGGAGGCUCAACCUCCAGCUGUCGACGGAAACCGUAUGGCUAGAGUCCGGAAGAGGAGAGUGGAAUUCCUGGUGUAGCGGUGAAAUGCGCAGAUAUCAGGAAGAACACCAAUGGCGAAGGCAGCUCUCUGGGACGGUACUGACGCUGAGACGCGAAAGCGUGGGGAGCGAACAGG